AGUGAACGCUGGCGGUAGGCCUAACACAUGCAAGUCGAACGGCAGCACAGUAAGAGCUUGCUCUUACGGGUGGCGAGUGGCGGAUGGGUGAGGAAUACAUCGGAAUCUACUUUUUCGUGGGGGAUAACGUAGGGAAACUUACGCUAAUACCGCAUACGACCUACGGGUGAAAGCAGGGGAUCUUCGGACCUUGCGCGAUUGAAUGAGCCGAUGUCGGAUUAGCUAGUUGGCGGGGUAAAGGCCCACCAAGGCGACGAUCCGUAGCUGGUCUGAGAGGAUGAUCAGCCACACUGGAACUGAGACACGGUCCAGACUCCGACGGGAGGCAGCAGUGGGGAAUAUUGGACAAUGGGCGCAAGCCUGAUCCAGCCAUACCGCGUGGGUGAAGAAGGCCUUCGGGUUGUAAAGCCCUUUUGUUGGGAAAGAAAAGCAGCAGGUUAAUACCCCGCUGUUCUGACGGUACCCAAAGAAUAAGCACCGGCUAACUUCGU
This 491-nucleotide ribosomal RNA is filed under the name uncultured bacterium. RNAcentral's name for it is "partial 16S ribosomal RNA". It matches the Rfam family "Bacterial small subunit ribosomal RNA", at positions 29 to 506 of the family's 1533-position model. The record is from RNAcentral.